Molecule: ribosomal RNA, 522 nt
Filed under: uncultured bacterium
Lineage: Bacteria
Description: bacterial SSU rRNA
Rfam family: Bacterial small subunit ribosomal RNA
Source: RNAcentral
AGAGUUGAUCAUGGCUCAGGACGAACGCUGGCGGCGUGCCUAACACAUGCAAGUCGAGCGGGGACAUUGCGACGGAGACGAAGUACUCGUACGGAGUCAAAGACGUAAUGUCUAGCGGCGGACGGGUGAGUAACGCGUGAGCAACCUGUCCCUUACAGGGGGAUAACACAGCGAAAGUUGUACUAAUACCGCAUAAGACCACAGGAUGACAUCGUCCAGGGGUCAAAGGAGCAAUCCGGUAAGGGGUGGGCUCGCGUCCGAUUAGAUAGUUGGUGAGGUAACGGCCCACCAAGUCGACGAUCGGUAGCCGACCUGAGAGGGUGAUCGGCCACAUUGGGACUGAGACACGGCCCAAACUCCUACGGGAGGCAGCAGUGGGGAAUAUUGGGCAAUGGGGAAACCCUGACCCAGCAACGCCGCGUGAGGGAAGAAGGUUUUCGGAUCGUAAACCUCUGUCCCAGGUGAAGAGGAAGAGACGGUAGCCUGGGAGGAAGCCCCGGCUAACUACGUGCCAGCAGCUGC